CAGUCGCCACGGUAAUACGUAGGGUGCGAGCGUUAAUCGGAAUUACUGGGCGUAAAGCGUGCGCAGGCGGUUCGUUAAGACAGAUGUGAAAUCCCCGGGCUUAACCUGGGAACUGCAUUUGUGACUGACGGGCUAGAGUAUGGCAGAGGGGGGUAGAAUUCCACGUGUAGCAGUGAAAUGCGUAGAGAUGUGGAGGAAUACCGAUGGCGAAGGCAGCCCCCUGGGCCAAUACUGACGCUCAUGCACGAAAGCGUGGGGAGCAAACAGGAUUAGAUACCCCCGUAGUCCCUGUCUCUUAUAC
This 301-nucleotide ribosomal RNA is filed under the name uncultured bacterium. RNAcentral's name for it is "partial 16S ribosomal RNA". It matches the Rfam family "Bacterial small subunit ribosomal RNA", at positions 509 to 807 of the family's 1533-position model. The record is from RNAcentral.